This 393-nucleotide ribosomal RNA is filed under the name uncultured soil bacterium. RNAcentral describes it as "bacterial SSU rRNA". It matches the Rfam family "Bacterial small subunit ribosomal RNA", at positions 26 to 425 of the family's 1533-position model. The record is from RNAcentral.
AGGACGAACGCUGGCGGCGUGCUUAACACAUGCAAGUCACGGGGGUCCCGCAAGGGAUAACCGGCGAACGGGUGCGUAACACGUGAACAACCUGCCCUCGUGUGGGGGAUAGCCGGGCUAACGCCCGGGUAAUACCGCAUACGUUCUCUUUGGGAGUCCCGAGGAGAGGAAAGCUCCGGCGCACGGGGAGGGUUCGCGGCCUAGUCAGCUAGUUGGCGGGUAAUGGCCCACAAGGCGACGACGGGUAGCUGGUCUGAGAGGAUGGCCAGCCGCAUUGGGACUGAGAGACGGCCCAGACUCCUACGGGAGCAGCAGUGGGGAAUCGUUGCGCAAGUGGUACUAACGACUGACGCGAGCGACGCCGCGUGGUGGGAGGACCGUCCGUUUCGGGGG